RNAcentral lists this ribosomal RNA (159 nucleotides) under Colletotrichum gloeosporioides. RNAcentral's name for it is "5.8S ribosomal RNA". The stretch from base 1 to 55 matches the Rfam family "5.8S ribosomal RNA", at positions 100 to 154 of the family's 154-position model. Lineage: Eukaryota; Fungi; Ascomycota; Sordariomycetes; Glomerellales; Glomerellaceae. The record is from RNAcentral.
UUGAACGCACAUUGCGCCCGCCAGCAUUCUGGCGGGCAUGCCUGUUCGAGCGUCAUUUCAACCCUCAAGCUCUGCUUGGUGUUGGGGCCCUACAGCCGAUGUAGGCCCUCAAAGGUAGUGGCGGACCCUCCCGGAGCCUCCUUUGCGUAGUAACUUUAC